RNAcentral lists this long non-coding RNA (528 nucleotides) under Manacus vitellinus (golden-collared manakin). RNAcentral's name for it is "lncRNA (ENSMVIG00005010103.1)". The record is from RNAcentral. Lineage: Eukaryota; Metazoa; Chordata; Aves; Passeriformes; Pipridae.
GGAGGUCCUGGCAACUGCAGACUCACUGCACCUGAACGGGUGUGGAGCUCAGGGAAUUCAGGUGUUAACUAAUGCUAACAAUGAGAAUGCCUGGGAUUAUAUAAUUGCAAUAAUGGGGGUGAUUCUUUCUUUUCAGUGAACAGGAACUGUUGGAUGAGAGAGAGAUGGUUUCUAGCCUGGCAUCCUUCUUCAGAUUUGAAGAAUCAGCGAACACAGAUUCUUAAGUCUCAAGAGUUCUGCUUUUUUUGGAGCAGGACCUGGGUGCUCAGCCAGGAUGUGCUUCACCCACCUCACCUGGGAACCUGGCACAGCAAUACUGCACAAACUGACUGCUUUGCACCAGUGAGUCUCUUCCAGGUCAUAGUUGGAUGAAAGAUCCACAGCAACACUGAAGUAUUUGAGAGAGAUCCUUGGAUGCAAUGGGAUCUUUAUGCUGACAGACUGAUUGCUAAUGGGAUGCUGUGUGAUGCAUGGACUGGGACACCCUAGAUCUGAAGACCUAAAAUGACAAGUGAAACAAGAUAAGGU